Molecule: ribosomal RNA, 254 nt
Filed under: uncultured bacterium
Lineage: Bacteria
Description: partial 16S ribosomal RNA
Rfam family: Bacterial small subunit ribosomal RNA
Source: RNAcentral
UACGGAGGAUCCAAGCGUUAUCCGGAAUUACUGGGCGUAAAGAGUUGCGUAGGUGUCUUGUUAGGUUUCUGUUUAAAGGCCAAGGCUCAACCUUGGAAAAGAUAGAAAAACCGGCAGGAUUGAGCAUAGUAGGGGUACCUGGAAUUUCUAGUGUAGGAGUGAAAUCCGUAGAUAUUAGAAGGGACACCGAUGGCGUAGGCAGGGUACUGGGCUAUUGCUGACACUAAGGCACGAAAGCGUGGGGAGCGAACGGG